AACACGAGUGUGCACGCGUCAGAUACGGCGAGUGAAGCGGCAAAAGCUCAAAUUUGAAAUCUGGCACCUUCGGUGUCCGAGUUGUAAUUUGAAGAAGGUAACUUUGGAGUUGGCUCUUGUCUAUGUUCCUUGGAACAGGACGUCACAGAGGGUGAGAAUCCCGUGCGAUGAGAUGCCCAAUUCUAUGUAAAGUGCUUUCGAAGAGUCGAGUUGUUUGGGAAUGCAGCUCUAAGUGGGUGGUAAAUUCCAUCUAAAGCUAAAUAUUGGCGAGAGACCGAUAGCGAACAAGUACAGUGAUGGAAAGAUGAAAAGAACUUUGAAAAGAGAGUGAAAAAGUACGUGAAAUUGUUGAAAGGGAAGGGCUUGAGAUCAGACUUGGUAUUUUGCGAUCCUUUCCUUCUUGGUUGGGUUCCUCGCAGCUUACUGGGCCAGCAUCGGUUUGGAUGGUAGGAUAAUGACUAAGGAAUGUGGCUCUACUUCGGUGGAGUGUUAUAGCCUUGGUUGAUACUGCCUGUCUAGACCGACGACUGCUUCUUUCGACUAUGAUGUUGGCUUAAUGUUCUUAAGCCACCCUCGCUUGAAACACACAAACAC
Molecule: ribosomal RNA, 594 nt
Filed under: Debaryomyces hansenii
Lineage: Eukaryota; Fungi; Ascomycota; Pichiomycetes; Serinales; Debaryomycetaceae
Description: LSU rRNA
Rfam family: Eukaryotic large subunit ribosomal RNA
Source: RNAcentral